GAAAAAUGGUGGGACGAGAGGAGAGGUCGCUUUUGGGUGAACUCACGAUAUAGGUAAUAUGGUGGUCAUAGUCAAAUCGGUAACGUGGUGUAGCCUUUGAAGUCAGCGACAAACCACGAGCAAGGUCUGUUUCAACGUCAGGCCUACGCCUAUCCAUAUUUAGACUUCUCGAUUCUCCACCAUUCUCUUUUAAUUCACGCAAAGUGUUCAUUCU
RNAcentral lists this unclassified non-coding RNA (214 nucleotides) under Hevea brasiliensis (rubber tree). The record is from RNAcentral. Lineage: Eukaryota; Viridiplantae; Streptophyta; Magnoliopsida; Malpighiales; Euphorbiaceae.